This 434-nucleotide small RNA is filed under the name Photorhabdus laumondii subsp. laumondii TTO1. RNAcentral describes it as "Photorhabdus luminescens subsp. laumondii TTO1 cspA thermoregulator". It matches the Rfam family "cspA thermoregulator". The record is from Rfam by way of RNAcentral. Lineage: Bacteria; Pseudomonadati; Pseudomonadota; Gammaproteobacteria; Enterobacterales; Morganellaceae.
UACUUUAUGUACGACAUCUUGAGUUAAUGAGUUAUGUGUAAGUGUUAUCCCCAGAUAGCCUUUGUUGACGCGUUUCCUUCUUAGUGCCUCCAUAAGUAAUAGCUGAUAUAACUGGCCAAUACAUGCCCAAUGGUGGCAAAAUUUUUUUGAUAUAUAGGAAAGUCACAAUGUCUGACAAAAUGAAAGGUCAAGUGAAGUGGUUCAACGAGUCUAAAGGCUUCGGUUUCAUCACCCCAGCUGACGGUAGCAAAGACGUAUUCGUUCACUUCUCUGCCAUUCAGGGUAACGGUUUCAAAACUUUGGCAGAAGGCCAGAACGUAGAAUUCACCAUUGAAAAUGGUGCGAAAGGUCCAGCUGCAGCAAACGUAAUGGCUAUCUGAUUGCUUGGAUGAUUUUGAAGCCCGUCACUAUUUUCUAUAAUGACGGGCUUUUUC